Long non-coding RNA from Scophthalmus maximus (turbot), 1787 nucleotides. RefSeq lists it as uncharacterized. NCBI's taxonomy places the organism in Eukaryota, Metazoa, Chordata, Actinopteri, Pleuronectiformes, Scophthalmidae. The record is from RefSeq and is a predicted model, not a curated record. The transcript has 6 exons.
GUCCCAUUGCAGUGAGAGGCAGUAGAGUGAAGUGACUGCGGACGCCGUUAAAAAGUUUGCGCAAACAAAUAUGUCGUUGAAGUCUUAAGAUAAUAACUCGACAGUCUCAAUCAUGAUAUUGCCUCUACAUAUUAUUUGUGGGCAACUGAAGUUAUUUCUGCCCGAAGUGUAUCAUACUGUUGUCCACGUGUUUGUAUUAGCUUCACGUGUGUAUUCGCUCAUUAGCUUACGGUGUUUAUGUUUAUUAGCAUCCAUUAGCAAAGUGAACGGACUAUUAGCCGUCGCAUAGCUAACAGCUUGCGCCGAAGGCUUUAGCUCGUCGUCUUCGACGUGGGAAACCUCGAGGAUUUGUGAGACUGUGCUUCGAAGCUAACGGUCAGAGCUUCGUCCACUUCGCGGGAGAGACCGCGUCAUCUCCGGACAUCGGUCUGACCGCCACCUUGAUCUUCAUGGGAGAGACCGAGAGACUGGUAACGUCAUCAGCUACCAAGGCCACGCCAUCUCUGGACACCUGCCUCCCCCUGUUCUCCAUCCGAGGCCGAGAGAGACUGGUUAAAGCUGCAGAUCGGACCCCGAAUUGAACUAAGUGACUGGACACGGUGACUGGCUGCCAUCUCUCCCAUUAUCUGCCUUCCUCUCCUUCCAACAUCUUCCAUCAUCUCCACUCAACUCCUGCCCUCAUGACCACUGCUCUCUGCCGUCACUGCCCUCUCUAUGUGGCUGGCCUGGAGGUAUCUGUGGUGAAACACUGGCUGGAGGGCCGCCUCUGUUUUCCCAUGAAGAGUCACUUGCUGCUGGCUGUUCACCUGGAAAAGCUCUCUGUGAAUCGCCCACUGACCCAGAAGACCAACCCCACUGAAACCACGCACAAUUGGCUCUGGGGCUCUCGAUGCCCUCGUUCUCUUGAGCCCCUUUCACGGUGCCAUGACAAGGACAAAUUGCAUCCACCGCCCCUUCCACAAAAACAUCUUAGGGCCUUAGGCUCGUCGGUGAGUGAUGGGUCGGGCCAUGUCUCUGUAAAAGCCCUCCUUGCAGUAGUGGCAGUGGCGUCCUGCAGUGUUGUGGCGGCAGUUCAUACAGACUCCUCCGCUCUUCCUCCCCGAAAGCUUGUACAACUCCAUGUUGAAUCGACAGCGGCGGGCAUGGAGGUUACAGUUACAUGCUGCAGAGGGAAGAGGAACAUUCACAUUGCAUCAGCAAAGAGCGUGGGAAGGAGUUCUGAGGGUGAAAGUCAGCAAAGACACUGUGAUCACUGAGCGAUGGGUCAGUGUCAUGUUCAGGGAUGCGUGAAGUCGGCUCCUCGUGUUGUCGUGGAAAUCAAACAACAAACACAAGCUACAGGCUUGGCAAACAUAGGGAUGCUGAGACAAAAAAGUGGAGAGGAUGGAGGGAUGGGAGGAAGAAACUCCAAGGAAAAUACUGCAGUCGGCACAGAGGAAGAAGCAGACGACUGCUGUGCAAUCAAAUUAUCAGAGAGAAUCAGUAAAAACGGAGGUUAAAAAAAACCAGAUCCACUUUUGCCAUGACUCUUGGCAUACGCAACGAGGUCCACUCUGGGAUACAUGUGAUGCCUGGGCAGGUUUAGAAAUAGAAAGUGACAGAUGGAAUACAUUCACCACUGUGGCCAGAGAUGGCAGUAGAAAUUGGGGAAUGUUUUAUGUUUUACUGUAGUAUAGUCAGAUUUUGAUGCAGGCUUGCAUGCGAAUGCGUGGACUGCCAAAGAGUUCGGGGUCGAUGAUGGAUCUUGUAACGGACAAGAUUGUCCAUCCAAAUAAAUGGUUUGAUGA